GGUAAAGGCCUACCAAGACAAUGAUGCAUAGCCGAGUUGAGAGACUGAUCGGCCACAUUGGGACUGAGACACGGCCCAAACUCCUACGGGAGGCUGCAGUAGGAAUCUUCCACAAUGGGCGAAAGCCUGAUGGAGCAACGCCGCGUGUGUGAUGAAGGCUUUCGGGUCGUAAAGCACUGUUGUAUGGGAAGAAAAGUUAAGGUAGGGAAUGACCUUAGCCUGACGGUACCAUACCAGAAAGGGACGGCUAAAUACGUGCCAGCAGCCGCGGUAAUACGUAUGUCCCGAGCGUUAUCCGGAUUUAUUGGGCGUAAAGCGAGCGCAGACGGUUGGUUAAGUCUGAUGUGAAAGCCCGGAGCUCAACUCCGGAAAGGCAUUGGAAACUGGUUAACUUGAGUGCAGUAGAGGUAAGUGGAACUCCAUGUGUAGCGGUGGAAUGCGUAGAUAUAUGGAAGAACACCAGCGGCGAAGGCGGCUUACUGGACUGUAACUGACGUUGAGGCUCGAAAGUGUGGGUAGCAAACAGGAUUAGAUACCCUGGUAGUCCACACCGUAAACGAUGAACACUAGGUGUUAGGAGGUUUCCGCCUCUUAGUGCCGAAGCUAACGCAUUAAGUGUUCCGCCUGGGGAGUACGACCGCAAGGUUGAAACUCAAAGGAAUUGACGGGGACCCGCACAAGCGGUGGAGCAUGUGGUUUAAUUCGAAGCAACGCGAAGAACCUUACCAGGUCUUGACAUCCUUUGAAGCUUUUAGAAAUAGAAGUGUUCUCUUCGGAGACAAAGUGACAGGUGGUGCAUGGUCGUCGUCAGCUCGUGUCGUGAGAUGUUGGGUUAAGUCCCGCAACGAGCGCAACCCUUAUUGUUAGUUGCCAGCAUUCAGAUGGGCACUCUAGCGAGACUGCCGGUGACAAACCGGAGGAAGGCGGGGACGACGUCAGAUCAUCAUGCCCCUUAUGACCUGGGCUACACACGUGCUACAAUGGCGUAUACAACGAGUUGCCAACCUGCGAAGGUGAGCUAAUCUCUUAAAGUACGUCUCAGUUCGGACUGCAGUCUGCAACUCGACUGCACGAAGUCGGAAUCGCUAGUAAUCGCGGAUCAGCACGCCGCGGUGAAUACGUUCCCGGGUCUUGUACACACCGCCCGUCACACCAUGGAAGUUUGUAAUGCCCAAAGCCGGUGGCCUAACCGUAAGGAGGGAACCGUC
RNAcentral lists this ribosomal RNA (1208 nucleotides) under Leuconostoc carnosum. RNAcentral describes it as "bacterial SSU rRNA". It matches the Rfam family "Bacterial small subunit ribosomal RNA", at positions 256 to 1457 of the family's 1533-position model. Lineage: Bacteria; Bacillati; Bacillota; Bacilli; Lactobacillales; Lactobacillaceae. The record is from RNAcentral.